RNAcentral lists this ribosomal RNA (395 nucleotides) under uncultured bacterium. Its description in RNAcentral is "partial 16S ribosomal RNA". It matches the Rfam family "Bacterial small subunit ribosomal RNA", at positions 523 to 918 of the family's 1533-position model. The record is from RNAcentral.
AUACGUAGGGUGCAAGCGUUAAUCGGAAUUACUGGGCGUAAAGCGUGCGCAGGCGGUCUUGUAAGACAGAGGUGAAAUCCCCGGGCUCAACCUGGGAACUGCCUUUGUGACUGCAAGGCUAGAGUACAGCAGAGGGGGAUGGAAUUCCGCGUGUAGCAGUGAAAUGCGUAGAUAUGCGGAGGAACACCGAUGGCGAAGGCAAUCCCCUGGGCCUGUACUGACGCUCAUGCACGAAAGCGUGGGGAGCAAACAGGAUUAGAUACCCUGGUAGUCCACGCCCUAAACGAUGUCAACUGGUUGUUGGGUCUUCAUUGACUCAGUAACGAAGCUAACGCGUGAAGUUGACCGCCUGGGGAGUACGGCCGCAAGGUUGAAACUCAAAUGAAUUGACGGGG